CCUACCCCACUGCGCGUCAAGGUCUGGGGUGACAGAGGGCGCUAGACAGCGAGUCCGGGAGGGGCGGUGCCACCACACUGCAAUCCUCUGUGAAACUCUACUUUCAAAAACACAGUGAUAGGUGCCUGAAGAGACCCUUACCUCCAGUGCAAGAACUGGGAGAUGCACCUCCCAGCUGUUUCCAAACUAACCAGAGAAGGUGAAGAAUUCUCAGACCUUACUCCCUUCCAGCUAAAUGUCUGUCUUUGCAAAUCUUUUAGGAGCUGGCUACCUCCAGUUCUCUUCCUUUGUCAUCUCUUCCUAGAGAAGGAACUGGAGAGGUGGGUUAAGGUAAGGACCCUACCUUCCAUUCGACCAUUCGACGUUGCUAGUCCACAGAUCAACAAAAUGAGGAUACUAGGAGCCUGGGUGCUGUGUGAAGAUCAGAUUGUGAUUGUCUAGGUUUAGGAAACCUUUUGAAACCUGUUCUGUGAUACAAAUGUAAAGGAUUCCUAUUGUCAACAUUGUAACUAUUUCCACUCCUCUUUUGAGGCCAAUGCAGCUGCAGCCCAGCCUUUCCUUCUCUCCUCACCUUCAAUGACUUCUAGAUAGGCCCAGACUUAAACAGGUUCCUGUGAUAAGCACCCCUUGGGGUUUCAGUGGUGCAUCCUCUCUUCUUCCAGGAUAGUACAGGUAAGAGAGGGACAGGGAGAGUCAGUUUGAACUUUCUGUGUCCACCAUGGUCUUUCUUACCUUGAUUUCAGGAAUAAAGGGCAAAAGGAAAUGAAGAUUAAAAAAAAAAUGUCUGGGAUCCACAGUCCUCUUCAGUCACUCCAUGUCUUGUCCCAGAUGAUUAAGAAUACAUGGGCACCAAGAGGACAAGAAGAUUAAUGGGAACUGUAUUUGAAGCAGCCAUAAUGUGGAAACAACCUCCAAUGUUCAUUAACAGAAAAAAAAGGGCGAAUCGCGGCAAAAGUAUACAAUUGUGUCUUGUGUAGCAUUAAAAGCAAAUAAGCCUCUGUUGCACACAAUACAUUGCCCAUACUGUGCAAAUAUGAUUUUUUAGCAAGAGUUACCAGACACAGAAUAGAUAUGCUUCAAUUUACAUAAAAUUCAAAACUAACCUAUUGUGUGGGCAGUCAGGAUGAUGCCUCCUUUAGGGAAAAAGUAGGAAAUAAUGACUGGGGGAUACCAUGCGAUCUCUGGUGGGGGAUGGAAACAGUUGACCAGUAUACUCCUACUGUGAUGAUAAAGCCACCUACUAGGUGGUUAUUCUUUGCACUGAAGACUUAGGAUAUUUAUUUGCUUGUUUAUUUAUUUAUUUAUCUUUUUUAAGGGGGGGACAGGGUUUCUUUAUAUAGCCUUGGCUGUUAUGGAACACUGUAGGCCAGGCUGGCCCCGAAUUUGGAGACCUGCCUGCCUCUCUGUCCUGAGCGCUGAGAUUAAAGGCGUGCACCACCACUGCCUGACGAUUUAGAAAGCUUUAAUAGGCUUUCACUUAGACCAGUGUCAGAUAGGUUGUUAAUGGCAGUAGGGAAAUGGAGGUGGAAAGUGAUCAAGAAUGAAAUUAGAAAUUAGUGGAAUGUGAGGAAGUAAAAUCUACAUCUCUGGGAAGGAUGAACAACAGCGGCGGGGGGAGUUCAGUGGCCUAGAAUUGAAGGGAUAUUUGUGUUUAGCGUGGUGGAUUCUAUGAGAAAGAUAAGAAAGCAUUUGUUCAUGUCAGAGAGAUAGGAAAGGGAAAAAAAGAAAGGCUUAUAACUCAAGAAAGAAUGACUAGAAGAAACAAAGUCUGAGAGGAAAAGAAGGUGGGUAAAACAAGCUUUAGUGGAAUUUGAGCUUAAUUGUGUUUUAUUAGGAAUAUAUAUAUAUAUAUAUUAUUUUAUAAACAUGAGUUUCAUUUUGAUGUUUUCCAACUCAUUAUCUCUUGUCUCCCUCCCCAUUGUAACAGCUCCCAUUUUCCUCCUAUAUUACAGUUUCUACUUUCAUGUUUUGUUAAGCUAGAUUUUGUAUGUGGGAGAAAUAUGCAGUACUUGUCUUUGUAAGUCUAGUUAUUUUACUUACUAUGGUUAUCACCAGUUCAUUCAUUUUUCUGCAAAGGUCAUAAUUCAUUCUUCUUCAUAGCUGAAUAAUACUCCAGUGUGUAUAUAUGCCACAUUUUUCAUCCAUUCAUACUUUAAUGUGUACCUAGACUGAUAACAUAACUUGGCUAUCUUGUGCACUCAAGCAAUGGGCAUUGGUAUGUAGGUAUCCCCAGGGUUUCAUGUCAUUAAAGUGGUAAAAACGAAACCUGU
This is a long non-coding RNA of Myodes glareolus (Bank vole), 2270 nucleotides long. RefSeq lists it as uncharacterized. NCBI's taxonomy places the organism in Eukaryota, Metazoa, Chordata, Mammalia, Rodentia, Cricetidae. The record is from RefSeq and is a predicted model, not a curated record.